CCCUGCAGUGGCCGAGGUAGGCCUCGCCCUCCGGUGCCGAGGUGCGGCCGACGAUGCGCAGCCGGGUCCCGGGCUCGGCCGCGCGGACC
RNAcentral lists this transfer RNA (89 nucleotides) under Streptomyces albogriseolus. RNAcentral's name for it is "tRNA-Arg". RNAcentral also lists the same sequence under 1 other name. The record is from RNAcentral. Lineage: Bacteria; Bacillati; Actinomycetota; Actinomycetes; Kitasatosporales; Streptomycetaceae.